UUGACCUCGGAUCAGGUAGGGAUACCCGCUGAACUUAAGCAUAUCAAUAAGCGGAGGAAAAGAAACCAACCGGGAUUGCCUCAGUAACGGCGAGUGAAGCGGCAAGAGCUCAAAUUUGAAAGCUG
This 125-nucleotide ribosomal RNA is filed under the name Aspergillus floccosus. RNAcentral describes it as "partial 28S ribosomal RNA". It matches the Rfam family "Eukaryotic large subunit ribosomal RNA", at positions 1 to 124 of the family's 3401-position model. The record is from RNAcentral. Lineage: Eukaryota; Fungi; Ascomycota; Eurotiomycetes; Eurotiales; Aspergillaceae.